UACGUAGGGGGCAAGCGUUGUCCGGAAUCAUUGGGCGUAAAGCGCGUGUAGGCGGCUUGGUAAGUCCGCUGUGAAAGCCCGGGGCUCAACCCCGGGAGGCGGGUGGAUACUGCUGGGCUCGAGUCCGGAAGAGGAGUGUGGAAUUCCUGGUGUAGCGGUGAAAUGCGCAGAUAUCAGGAGGAACACCAAUGGCGAAGGCAGCACUCUGGGACGGUACUGACGCUGAGACGCGAAAGCGUGGGGAGCAAACAGG
This 253-nucleotide ribosomal RNA is filed under the name uncultured bacterium. Its description in RNAcentral is "partial 16S ribosomal RNA". It matches the Rfam family "Bacterial small subunit ribosomal RNA", at positions 524 to 776 of the family's 1533-position model. The record is from RNAcentral.